GCGGGUGUGGCGCAAUGGUAGCGCAGAAUCUUCCCAAGAUUAAGGUUGUGGGUUCGAAUCCCAUCACCCGCU
This 72-nucleotide transfer RNA is filed under the name Chloroflexota bacterium. Its description in RNAcentral is "Chloroflexi bacterium (groundwater metagenome) tRNA-Gly". It matches the Rfam family "tRNA". From Rfam's summary of the family: Transfer RNA (tRNA) molecules are approximately 80 nucleotides in length. Their secondary structure includes four short double-helical elements and three loops (D, anti-codon, and T loops). Further hydrogen bonds mediate the characteristic L-shaped molecular structure. tRNAs have two regions of fundamental functional importance: the anti-codon, which is responsible for specific mRNA codon recognition, and the 3' end, to which the tRNAs corresponding amino acid is attached (by aminoacyl-tRNA synthetases). tRNAs cope with the degeneracy of the genetic code in two manners: having more than one tRNA (with a specific anti-codon) for a particular amino acid; and 'wobble' base-pairing, i.e. permitting non-standard base-pairing at the 3rd anti-codon position. The record is from RNAcentral. Lineage: Bacteria; Bacillati; Chloroflexota.